GAAGGCGCUGCAGAACAGGUUGUGGCCGUUCCUCUGCCUUUUAUUGCUCUGGCUGUGCGUGGGCUGUGAUGGCCCAGCUCCUGUCCCCUGGGCACCUUAAAGGAACUUCAGGACCUCUGACUCCAGGUUCAAAGCACCUGCAUCCUGCCUGGUACGUUACAGCUGCUCAGGGAAAGACUACUGAAUUGAAGAGGAGUUGGAGGGAGAGUCUGCUGACUGGCCUGCGAUGAGAGGAGAUCUGCUUCUGACAUCCCCUGUUGGAAACCGGAAUGCAGCUUUCCCUAGAAGCGUGUUACACAUGGUGAUUCUGUGCUUCAGGACUUGGGGUGUGGCACUGAAGGAGUUAAGUAGGCUUUUGUCAACUGAUCUGGGGACAUAGCCAGCAUAUAUAACACAAUUUUCUUAUGGGAUAUGCAUUGUAAGUUUCAACUAAUACUUUGAGAAUUGACUUACUUAUAGAUAGAGAACUGCCUGUACAUGUCACUCCCAUUGCCUGCCAACCCUAAAUUCAAACAUGUCCGUAUACUGGUGAGUGUAUGGAGAAGGGUUCAGUUUCACCCACUCUGUGUCUCCCUCCACCCGAGGUGCACACAGCGAUUUCACACUGCAUCCUGCACCUUGUAGCUUAGAUGCCAUAACACCCCAGGGCGGAAACUGUUCCUUGUUUUCACACCUUCUUCUCAAUGUACACUCUCAGCCCCUAGUCAAUUGUGAAUGCAAGGAAUAGAGUAAUCACCACAUCCUUGCUUAGGUGGGACUCAUUUUCCACUCACACCUUCUCCCUGGAAAGAGGGAGGGAGAGAUUGUGAAGGGUGGGUGGUGGGGAAGAGUGUGUACAGCUGUGCUCAUGGCCCCCUGACCCCCGGCACACCCACUUGUUCUCAAGCAGAGUGAGCUAGGACAUUAAUAUCCUCUUCCGACCUUUGACUGAAAUUAUUCUGCCUGACUUAAUCCUCCAGUAUUAGCGGUAGAAGAGGGGUUUCUGCCUUUCAGACUGAAUGUUGUUAACAGGGAAAAGACUCAGUUUACUAGCACCUAAGUGUCUUGAAUGGAUGGAACAUGCCAAAUGAUGGUGAGCUGCAGCGGUUCUUACAGCAUACGCCUGAGCAAGCCUUUGAAGGAGGAGCAGCCUGGGAAACAGACUCUGGAGAAGAUUUUUGCAGCUCCACACAUUCAGUUACAUCAGAGGUUCUCAGCUGGGGAUGAUUUUGGCCCCUAGAGGACAUUUGGCAAUGUUUGGAGACAUUUUUGGUUUUCACGAACUGGGUGGGGAGGGGUAGAGGCCCGAGAUGUUGCUAAACAUCCUGCAAUGUGCAGAACAGCCCUUCACAAUAAAGAAUUACCUGGCCCAAAAUGUCAAUGAUGCCAAGAUUGAGAAACUCGAAGUUAGAUGGAUAUAUCUGGUCUGUCAACAUGAUGAUAUUACCUAGAGAAACAUCUAGACACUAUUAGCAAACGUCAUAUUUGUAAAAUUUAAGCUGUAUAUAAAGGCAGAUGACUUUCUUCUGAGUUUAUUUCCUUAUCAUGGGCUGACUGUUCAGGUUUUUAUACCAUAAUUUAAGAAUUUUUGUUUUCCUUAAAGUUUGGUCUCUCACUGUUAACCAUUUUUCACAAAUAAAUCAAGUGUUUAUUACUC
This is a long non-coding RNA of Equus caballus (horse), 1636 nucleotides long. RefSeq lists it as uncharacterized. The record is from RefSeq and is a predicted model, not a curated record. Lineage: Eukaryota; Metazoa; Chordata; Mammalia; Perissodactyla; Equidae.